AGAGAUCCUCAAAAAAAAACUUACACAUUGAAGAUAACAAAUAUAUUUUCUCUCCAUAUACAUCACCAUCAUCUUCAACUCAAAAACAAUCAUUUCUUCACUCUUAUCUCACUAGAUUCACUCAGAGACUCAUCUCUCUCAUUUUUCAGAGUCUAAAAAAAAGCUCUCACACGAAAAACUUCCACACCAGCUCACAAUUUUAUAAACAUCUUUUAAUCCCCUCAAGCUACUCCAUCACCAUCUACUUCCUUCUGUCGUAGCCCACACACUUUCCUUUCACCACCUGCCCUUCUUCUUCGUCCACCUCCAACAUGCAUCAACACAACAACACUCCAAACUACAAUAACAAAACAACAACCACUUCUUUCACCACCAAAACAACACGACGCUAACAACAUCCACACGAUCCAAAACCACUCUCUUCUGCCACCUUCAUCACAACUCACCAUCACAAACGCAUAGAAUUAUGUUGACCGGCCUCAAAUAGGAUGAUUCCUACAUUAACCGUUUUACGAUUUUUUAACAUAGCGCUAAAUGAUAUAGUUCAAAUUUUUUAUUUUAUUUCGAGUCCCUUGGUUUUUUCUUUGACCUUCUUACAACGAGAUUUUUUCUUACCAUUGUUUUUUGAGUUUGCAUUGUUAAUUAUUGUACUAUAUCCUCAUUCGAUAAAUUGUACCCUCAUUCCUAUUAUGUGUAGUAAGUUUACUGCUUUCAUUUAUUUUAUUGUGCUAGUUGAUUGUUAAUUCAAAGCUUAAAAUUAAUCUUUUAAAAAAAAAAUAGACACUGGAUCCAAUAUCAAUUCAUUGUUUUAGUAUUGUCUGCUUAUUUAAUUCUUAGGCAUUUGGAUUUGAAAUUAAGAUUUUUAAGCAACUACAAAGUAUUAUUUAUGAAUUUUCUUCCAUAAAAUACAGCUAUUUGUAACCCACAUUUAAUAUAAGUCUUUCAUUCG
This 949-nucleotide long non-coding RNA is filed under the name Lathyrus oleraceus (garden pea). RNAcentral's name for it is "Pisum sativum (pea) long non-coding RNA (PSAT_LNC033875)". The record is from RNAcentral. Lineage: Eukaryota; Viridiplantae; Streptophyta; Magnoliopsida; Fabales; Fabaceae.